CACCGCGGUUACACGAAUGACCCUAGUUGCUAGCCGCGGCAUAAAGGGUGGUUAGGGGUAAAAAUAAAUAAAGCUAAAGACCCCCUAGGCCGUCAUACGCAUUCCGGAGGUACGAGACCCAAUACGAAAGUAGCUUUAAAACCAUUCCUGAUUCCACGAAAGCUAAGAAA
RNAcentral lists this ribosomal RNA (170 nucleotides) under Noturus leptacanthus (speckled madtom). RNAcentral's name for it is "partial 12S rRNA". Lineage: Eukaryota; Metazoa; Chordata; Actinopteri; Siluriformes; Ictaluridae. The record is from RNAcentral.